GAUGAACGCUGGCUACAGGCUUAACACAUGCAAGUCGAGGGGAAACGACGGGGAAGCUUGCUUCCCCGGGCGUCGACCGGCGCACGGGUGAGUAACGCGUAUCCAACCUGCCUCUGACUGAGGGAUAACCCGUCGAAAGUCGGCCUAAUACCUCAUGGUAUCGUCUGCGGGCAUCCAACGACGAUUAAAGAUUUCAUCGGUCAGGGAUGGGGAUGCGUCUGAUUAGCUUGUUGGCGGGGUAACGGCCCACCAAGGCUACGAUCAGUAGGGGUUCUGAGAGGAAGGUCCCCCACAUUGGAACUGAGACACGGUCCAAACUCCUACGGGAGGCAGCAGUGAGGAAGAUUGGUCAAUGGGCGAGAGCCUGAACCAGCCAAGUAGCGUGCAGGAAGACGGCCCUAUGGGUUGUAAACUGCUUUUAUGCGGGGAUAAAGUGAGGGACGUGUCCCUCAUUGCAGGUACCGCAUGAAUAAGGACCGGCUAAUUCCGUG
This 491-nucleotide ribosomal RNA is filed under the name uncultured bacterium. RNAcentral's name for it is "partial 16S ribosomal RNA". It matches the Rfam family "Bacterial small subunit ribosomal RNA", at positions 28 to 507 of the family's 1533-position model. The record is from RNAcentral.